This 24-nucleotide transfer RNA is filed under the name Rhegmatorhina berlepschi (harlequin antbird). Its description in RNAcentral is "partial tRNA-Gly". The record is from RNAcentral. Lineage: Eukaryota; Metazoa; Chordata; Aves; Passeriformes; Thamnophilidae.
CUGGCCAAACCCCAGAGAAGAGCA